CAGCCGCCACGGUAAUACGUAGGUGGCAAGCGUUAUCCGGAAUUAUUGGGCGUAAAGCGCGCGUAGGCGGUUUCUUAAGUCUGAUGUGAAAGCCCACGGCUCAACCGUGGAGGGUCAUUGGAAACUGGGAAACUUGAGUGCAGAAGAGGAAAGUGGAAUUCCAUGUGUAGCGGUGAAAUGCGCAGAGAUAUGGAGGAACACCAGUGGCGAAGGCGACUUUCUGGUCUGUAACUGACGCUGAUGUGCGAAAGCGUGGGGAUCAAACAGGAUUAGAUACCCGUGUAGUCCCUGUCUCUUAUAC
RNAcentral lists this ribosomal RNA (301 nucleotides) under uncultured bacterium. RNAcentral describes it as "partial 16S ribosomal RNA". It matches the Rfam family "Bacterial small subunit ribosomal RNA", at positions 509 to 807 of the family's 1533-position model. The record is from RNAcentral.